AAAAAUUGAGAGAAAACAGGUCGAAAGGUUUUCUGUGAACAAAGGGACUUUCCGAGUUGAUUUUCUUUGACGAGGUCAUUUAAAGUUUAAGAAAAAACAUAGAUGCGAAUUUUCUUCUUCUUUUUGAAUCCGAAUUUGAGUUCCUGGGGGAUACAAAGUGAAGUUCCGGCUGUUUCUACUGUUGUUCUGCUGAGUCGCUACUGAACCUCGAUAGUAUUCAGAAUCGAAAGGUGUAUUGUCGAGAAUAGAUUUAUUAAAAGAUUUUGAAAUCUCAGGUUUGAUUUCUUUAUUUUUUCACAUCUUUGUUAUGAAAUACUUUGAACAGUGGGAUUUUGCCCAAGAAUGAUGUUUGGUUCUGUGCGUGGUUCUUUUGUUGUUGAACUGCUUCUCGAUGGCGUACAUUUGGAUAUUCUCAGUUAGUAGGAGUCGAUUUCGAGUGGUGGUUUUCUUUGGCUUAACUGAUAUUGUGAUGUCGAAUUUCGUUUGAGUCAAGGAUCUGUCACCUUCGAAUGAACGAUGUGUUCAACUUCCGUGAUUUCUACGCCUAAAAUUAUGACGAUUAUUCUCAGGAUAUUUUCGUUGCUUCAUAAGAUGAUUUUUUUUGCUUCUUCUCCUACAUAUGACUUUCUUUAAUAUUUAAAUCAAUUUGCUUGUAUUUUCUUUCUUAGUUUCAACAUGUUGGACAUGAAUCAUUGAAUGGUAUCGUCCAUAUUUGCGCGUUCUACUGGUAUGAGUUUACCUUUACAUGAAAUUUUAGGACUAUCAUCGAUUAUAGACUGGUUAAUAGCAGUUGUUAGGGACUCGAAUCUAACUAAUCAUUCUGAACAUUGACGGAUUGGGUUAGCUGCCCUGUUUGCACUAUCCAGGUAGCAUACUUGCAAGACCCUGGCUGUAUUUACUAUCUUAUCUCGACAAGCUUGGCAUGGAUGGCUAAAGUGUUUCCUUUUUCUCCUAACUUAUGAUCACCGGUGCAUAUUUAUGCUGGUUUGAGUCUGUUGAAGUCCCCUUUGGAUGACAAUUAACUCUAUGAGGCUCAAUAUAAGCUGGAUUGUACCUGUUGGUUUGCUCGAAUGCAGUCGUUGUUAGUUGUGCAAUCCUGUCUGUAGUAGAUGCCAAGUAUUUCGGUAGCUGAACUAUUUGAUAUAGAUUAUUUUGAAUCAUGGGGAACACUAUUGUGGUCAUAUAUUUCACUGAUGUUGCGUAGCUAGGUCGUAUCAAUCCUUCGUCACUUCUUUGGUCCAAUUCUUGCUUGUUUUGCUGGUGUUUGAAGCAUGCUUGCACUUUAAGUGGCACUGCAUGAAAAUUACUAUUAUGAAACUUAUAUAUGUGCCCAUUUUAAUACUUUGUCAAAGAGGAUUGUGGAUCAUAAUCGUGUCAUCUGUUAGAGUUAGGCAUUGUUCAGUUGGGAUAUGAAAACCAUUUCAAGUUGAUGAUAGUGUCAGCUUGACUGAGCUACUGAUGUCCAUGUUUGGUAGUUUGAAGGUCUCUAAUUCUACAUCUGGUUUGAUAGCAUUGCUUUCUUGUAUUCUUGUCUCAACUCUAGGCUAAGCUCAUACGCCUAGGAUUGAAUUAAUACAUGGCUUCGAUAACAAAUUUCAGCCUAGGUUGGCAAUAUGUGGAAUUGAACAACUCUUGUCAUUCGUGUAUGUCAGAAGAAUUCUUUUGUUUCUUUAAGCUUUGCCAUUGCAAUUUGAAGGAUUUGACAGAGCUCGGCUCUUGAUUUUAACCACCAGUUGGUUUGUCUAUUGAUUGAUGUGAUUCCGUGAUACAUUCAGCAUGUUAGUAGCUCCGUGUAAACAACACUGUCUAGUAUCAUCUGUUUGGCUAAAGAAUAUGCUAUAUAUUUUUGUCGAGUGCCCUGUUCCACAUCCUCACUAAGAAUAAAUAGUCUGAGUUAAACAUGUACCGAUUGUGCGAGUCUUUUCAAGUCAACUCCUGAUGCUUUGGACUUGGUUUUUUCGUUAAUUCAUAAGCUUUUUCCCACCACGAAUAAUCCUUAAAUAUAAAAUCGAUUAGUAUUCGUAACAAGCCUUUAGGGCCGUUUAAAAUACAAUUGUGGUUGCUUAUACGUUCGCGUAGCACGACCAUGACUCUAAAUUAAUUUGGAGUAUGCUUCAGGCAACUUCGACUAAUCUUUUCUUAAUAAUAAAAUAGGCUACAAGGUUUUAAUUAUUUUACACAAGUUCAUUAAAUCACAUAUGGCCUUUUAGUAAUUUCGUAAGUUAGAUAAAAAUAUAAUAUUUCGUAGAAU
RNAcentral lists this long non-coding RNA (2251 nucleotides) under Nicotiana benthamiana. RNAcentral describes it as "long non-coding RNA (NBEN_LNC009691)". Lineage: Eukaryota; Viridiplantae; Streptophyta; Magnoliopsida; Solanales; Solanaceae. The record is from RNAcentral.